Molecule: transfer RNA, 87 nt
Filed under: Chloroflexota bacterium
Lineage: Bacteria; Bacillati; Chloroflexota
Description: Chloroflexi bacterium (Noosa River metagenome) tRNA-Leu
Rfam family: tRNA
About the family: Transfer RNA (tRNA) molecules are approximately 80 nucleotides in length. Their secondary structure includes four short double-helical elements and three loops (D, anti-codon, and T loops). Further hydrogen bonds mediate the characteristic L-shaped molecular structure. tRNAs have two regions of fundamental functional importance: the anti-codon, which is responsible for specific mRNA codon recognition, and the 3' end, to which the tRNAs corresponding amino acid is attached (by aminoacyl-tRNA synthetases). tRNAs cope with the degeneracy of the genetic code in two manners: having more than one tRNA (with a specific anti-codon) for a particular amino acid; and 'wobble' base-pairing, i.e. permitting non-standard base-pairing at the 3rd anti-codon position.
Source: RNAcentral
GCCGAAGUGGCGGAAUUGGCAGACGCGCUACGUUCAGGGCGUAGUUCUCAUUCGGGAGUGUGGGUUCGACUCCCACCUUCGGCACCA